Long non-coding RNA from Neofelis nebulosa (Clouded leopard), 1958 nucleotides. RefSeq lists it as uncharacterized. The record is from RefSeq and is a predicted model, not a curated record. Lineage: Eukaryota; Metazoa; Chordata; Mammalia; Carnivora; Felidae. The transcript is spliced from 2 exons.
AAGAAAUGGUCAGACCUCCAAAUCUACCAGGCUCAAUAGCCACCUGAGUUUUAGGGAGAAUUCUAGAAUAUUACCUUGCAGCUCAGCGCAGGUCCCAUUGUGACCUCAUGCCCACAGGGCUGGGUUAGACUAGUCUUCAGCUACCAACAUGACGAGGCUGGUGGAGAGAGCUCACCUUCCAGUCCUCCACUCAACAUCUGGGGACAGAAUUGGCCCCAGGGGACUCCAUUUCACAGAGGCUCUUCCAUGAAAGACUGAGCUUCCGGUGGAUCACCAUUUGUAUUACUUACUGGGGCCUGUGUAAGCAGUGAACCAAGGAUCGGGUGCCUGAUUCCCAAAUCUGCCUUCACGAGUAACUUGCCAGUGAACUUGAGCGUCUCAUUCUCCAUCUGCCCGGUGCGGUGAUGAUGCUUGCCAAGCAGUCUCACAGGGUUCUGUUCUUUAUCCUGUGCCUGAGGUUGGACCCGAGGAAAAUUAGCCCACCUCUUUGCUUCUUGGAUACCUCGGAAUGAUUAGCCCUGAAUAUAGGAGCUGUACCCCUCAGAAAUGGGAGUAGGCCCUGGGCCCUUCUAGAUUGUUUCUAGAAAUAGGCUCAGUCUUCAGAUGCAGGCCUCACCAGAGCCCUUCCUUGGCAGCCUGCCUGUCCCGGUAGGGGAAGUGGUCCCUGGGAGAGGGAGCUAGUCUCGGAGACAGUUUGUCUGCCUUCUCUCCGAAGCUUCCUGUGUAUAGGAAAUGAAUAGAUCCCAUGCACACCCUCCCUCCUCCUUGGCAGGCUACUCCCUGCCCUCCCCAUGAGGUUCCAGGAGCCCGUGACAUUAUCUGCAAACUCCCAUGAGAGGCCCCAGACCACGGCCGUGAGCCCUGAGAAUGAUGAAUAUGCAGGAAGGGACGGUGUGCCAGACAGGGGAGCCAGGGCUGGGCGGGGGCAACCAUGCAGGGCAAGGGAGCCAGGGCUGGACUGGUGGGGAGGGGCUCCCAGGGUCCGAGCACCCUUGGAGAGGGCCCCAUCACUGGCAGGCCCAUUUGCCCUCCUAAAGAGCCAGAAGCUGUCAUUUGUAUGUCUGCAUUCUCCAGAUCUGUGGACUCCGGAGUCUUAGAAAUCCUCCUGGCGGCUGAGCAUCCCACUGGCCGCAAUUAACCUGUUCAAUACUAGGUCAGCAACUUUGCUGAGGAUGUUUGCUGAUGGCAUUCUACUGGGUGCACUGGUACUGUUGACUCUGGUCCACAGAAAGCCUGACACGUCCCUUGUGACAGAAGAAAGCUAGGAGCAAAUUCUGCCUGCAUCACAGAAUCCUUAGGCUGAGUGUGACAUUUGGAGGUCACCUGGUCCAUCCCUGUGCCUGCAGGCAGGCCUGGACAUAAACCGGCCUAGACAGAUGAGAAUCUGUUCUCUCUCUCUGCCUUCAAAAACCUAAGGACAUUUCAUGUAUCCCUUAGUAUCCAAUAUCCCUCAGCCCUGAGACUGUUCCUAGAGGUCAUCUGUAUUCCAGGGGUUCUCUGAUAGGUGUCUCAAGGCAGAGGCGAGGAACAACCCAUCGUGUGCUGUAUGCAGUGGGUGCUAGAGUGUGUUCCCAUGGGCUUCUCAGAGCCCACCAUGCACGCGUCUCUCUUCCAACUCAGGGUUCCGUGAUAUCACGUUGGUAGUUUGUGGUCAGCCACGGGACAAGUAUUUACACCACGGAAAUUGGCAAAUGCUGCCAAUGAGGAGCAGCCUUUUCCCCCCAGAGGACAAGUUGCUCAACAUUCGCUAGCAUACAACUAGUUGUAUACAGCAAUACUCCUGCAUAGAACUUGGGUAACAGUCAUCCUCUGUACCCUUCACUUUAGUGUCUUGAAGCUCCCUCACUGGCGGGACCAUAAUUUCCCCGGAGCAGAGGCUGUGCCUUGCAGGGGACUUUUUUUCCAGCAGCUUGCAUGGCGCCCGUUUGCCAAAGGAAUGAAGGACACUUAUCAAAUCA